RNAcentral lists this ribosomal RNA (274 nucleotides) under uncultured bacterium. RNAcentral's name for it is "partial 16S ribosomal RNA". It matches the Rfam family "Bacterial small subunit ribosomal RNA", at positions 523 to 796 of the family's 1533-position model. The record is from RNAcentral.
AUACGGAGGGUCCAAGCGUUAUCCGGAUUCAUUGGGUUUAAAGGGUCCGCAGGCGGGAAAAUAAGUCAGUGGUUAAAGACUACAGCUCAACUGUAGAACUGCCGUUGAUACUGUUUUUCUUGAGUAUAGAUGAAGUGGGCGGAAUAUAUCAUGUAGCGGUGAAAUGCAUAGAUAUGAUAUAGAACACCGAUUGCGAAGGCAGCUCACUAAACUAUUACUGACGCUCAGGGACGAAAGCGUGGGGAGCGAACAGGAUUAGAAACCCUUGUAGUCC